This 253-nucleotide ribosomal RNA is filed under the name uncultured bacterium. RNAcentral describes it as "partial 16S ribosomal RNA". It matches the Rfam family "Bacterial small subunit ribosomal RNA", at positions 524 to 776 of the family's 1533-position model. The record is from RNAcentral.
UACGGAGGGUGCGAGCGUUAAUCGGAAUUACUGGGCGUAAAGGGUGCGUAGGUGGUUUAAUAAGUUAUCUGUAAAAGCCCUGGGCUUAGCCUGGGAAGGCCAGAUAAGACUGUUAGACUGGAGUAUGGGAGAGGGUAGUGGAAUUUCCGGUGUAGCGGUGAAAUGCGUAGAGAUCGGAAGGAACACCAGUGGCGAAGGCGGCUACCUGGCCUGAUACUGACACUGAAGUACGAAAGCGUGGGGAGCAAACAGG